UGGGUCUGUGACAGUGGGUCUGUGACAGUGUGAGAGUGGGCCUGUGACAGUGUGACAGUAGGUCUGUGACAGUGUGAGAGUGGGUCUGUGACAGGGUGAGAGUGGGUCUGUGACAGGGUGAGAGUGGGCCUGUGACAGCAUAAGAGUGGGGCUGUGACAGUGUGAAAGUGGGUCUGUGAAAGUGUGAGAGUGGGUCUGUGACAGUGUGAGAGUGGGUCUGUGACAGUGUGAGAGUGGGCCUGUGACAGUGUGAGAGUAGGUCUGUGACAGUGGGUCUGUGACAGUGUGAGAGUGGGCCUGUGACAGUGUGAGAGUAGGUCUGUGACAGUGUGAGAGUGGGUCUGUGACAGUGUGAGAGUGGGUCUGUGACA
Molecule: non-coding RNA, 371 nt
Organism: Pelobates cultripes (western spadefoot toad)
Lineage: Eukaryota; Metazoa; Chordata; Amphibia; Anura; Pelobatidae
Source: the annotation of a GenBank genome assembly